GCAGGCUGUGGCUACUUCCACUUUUAAUCAGAGGGUUGCGGGUUCGAGUCCCGUCCGCCUGUUCCA
RNAcentral lists this transfer RNA (66 nucleotides) under Actinomadura kijaniata. Its description in RNAcentral is "tRNA-Ser". The record is from RNAcentral. Lineage: Bacteria; Bacillati; Actinomycetota; Actinomycetes; Streptosporangiales; Thermomonosporaceae.